UGGAGGCAGCCGACUCAGGGCAGCUCUUUGUGAUGUCCCCGGAGCCGGCAGAAGGGCAGAGGGGAAGGAGGCGAGAGCUGGGAACCUCCCAUUGGGAGGUUCGCUGUGGAGGUCUCCAGGGCGCGGCGGGUGUCGGUGCCCGCGGAGCCUGGCCGGAUGGUGGGAGAGAGCGAGGGGGACGGAGCGGUGAAAUAGGCAGCAGGGUGUUACUGAUGUGCUUGCAGGGAAGCUGUGCUGCCCUGCCCAGGGUUGAGGUUUGGCUUCCCAGCUCCAGAUCAGCUCCUAUUCCUCUCACCUGUCCUGCUUCCCUGGCUACAAGCUGAUGAAGUGAAUUUCACAUGGAGAUCGUGGAUGCUGAGAUGCAACAAAUCUGAGAUGUAACCUGACAGCUCACCCAGCAGUGUGAACAAAUUGCCUGGAAAUGUCGUCAUUUGGCUUCAUCUGGCGCUAUCUCCCCUUCUGUCUGGGUCAUUGAUUUCCUCAUCUCUUCUGCCUUAAAACUCACAUCAUACAUUAAUUUGUGGCUCUCCAGUACUGAGGCAGCUGCAUUGUGCCUUCCCUGCUCAAUACCAGCAGCUUUCAGCCUCUGAAGUGUCCUUUACUACUGCUCAUAUGAAGACCUCCCGAAUGUGUCUCGAGUGGCCUCCCUGCCUGCUACAUAACAGCAUGUGCUCUGCCAGCUUUUGUUUCAUCACAAGAGAGCUUGGAGCUGUUCUGCUUUCGGAAAUUGGGUAAGAUUCGGUCUCCUUCCUACAAUGACUCAGUGUGCUGGAGGAACGACUCCUGCUUUGUACACGAGCAGCUACUGCAGAGCUCUGAGAGCUGUGCCAGCCUCUGCGAGCCAGCAGCUCCCCACCCGAGAGCCCCUCAGCCAGCAAGGAGCUGGGGCUGCUCCACGCUCUGGUCUUAUGAUUGCUAAAUAUAGACUCCAUUGAUACAUAACACAAAUGCAUGAAGGGUGCAAGAGCCAACAGUUGUUGCAGAGUCAUCUUUGCUAAUACAGUCUUUGCCUCUGUCCUUUUGCCCGUGUCCCUGUGGCCUUUCAAACACCAUCCUUUGCAUUUUGAGUAAAUAUCUCCGUGCACCAGAUUCAUACUCAGUUCUCAUUGCAAGAUAGUCCAGGAUUUGGCCUUCAAUGUGCAAUUCAGGCUGGAUGAAUGAUUCUGUAAGAGAUAAAGUCUUGUCUGGCUAUUUAGUGAUGCUGUGGUUGCUCUCUGCUUGCCCUGGUCAGAGUUUAUCCCCUGUCCUGGUCUGUUGCUAUCAUUUAAUAGCCAGGUACCACUCUGAUACUGUAUCAGACUUGUUCGCUGAGCUGAAGCCAACUCAGGCAGCUGAGCCACAGGCUUUUGCCUACUGUAGGUUUGUUUGCACAGCUAUUCCCAAGGA
Columba livia (rock pigeon) is the source of this 1386-nucleotide long non-coding RNA. RefSeq lists it as uncharacterized. The record is from RefSeq and is a predicted model, not a curated record. NCBI's taxonomy places the organism in Eukaryota, Metazoa, Chordata, Aves, Columbiformes, Columbidae. The transcript is spliced from 3 exons.